RNAcentral lists this ribosomal RNA (429 nucleotides) under Chloroflexota bacterium. Its description in RNAcentral is "Chloroflexi bacterium partial 16S ribosomal RNA". It matches the Rfam family "Bacterial small subunit ribosomal RNA", at positions 355 to 776 of the family's 1533-position model. The record is from RNAcentral. Lineage: Bacteria; Bacillati; Chloroflexota.
UGGGGAAUAUUGCACAAUGGGCGCAAGCCUGAUGCAGCCAUGCCGCGUGUAUGAAGAAGGCCUUCGGGUUGUAAAGUACUUUCAGUCGGGAGGAAGGUGGUAAGGUUAAUAACCUUAUCAAUUGACGUUACCGACAGAAGAAGCACCGGCUAACUCCGUGCCAGCAGCCGCGGUAAUACGGAGGGUGCAAGCGUUAAUCGGAAUUACUGGGCGUAAAGCGCACGCAGGCGGUUGAUUGAGUCAGAUGUGAAAUCCCCGGGCUUAAACCGGGAAUUGCAUCUGAUACUGGUCAGCUAGAGUCUUGUAGAGGGGGGUAGAAUUCCAUGUGUAGCGGUGAAAUGCGUAGAGAUGUGGAGGAAUACCGGUGGCGAAGGCGGCCCCCUGGACAAAGACUGACGCUCAGGUGCGAAAGCGUGGGGAGCAAACAGG